This 468-nucleotide ribosomal RNA is filed under the name uncultured bacterium. Its description in RNAcentral is "partial 16S ribosomal RNA". It matches the Rfam family "Bacterial small subunit ribosomal RNA", at positions 28 to 507 of the family's 1533-position model. The record is from RNAcentral.
GACGAACGCUAGCGGCGGGCUUAACACAUGCAAGUCGAGGGGAAAGACGCGGCUUGCGUGGGGUGCUCGAGGGGCGAACGGGCGCGGGAGACGAGAGUAAACUGCCCCUGCCUUUGGGAUAACUUCAGGAAACUGGGGCUAAGACCGGAUAGGAGCGCCUGCUGCAGGGGGGGGGUGGGAAAGAUUCGGCGGUUGGGGGUGGGCGCGCGGCUUAUGAGCGAGUGGGUGGGGUAGGGGCUUACCAAGGCUUCGGCGGGUAGCCGGCCUGAGAGGGUGACCGGCCCCAUUGGGACUGAGCUACGGCCCGGACUCCUACGGGAUGCAGCAGUGGGGAAUAUUGCCUGAUGGGCGGAAGCCUGAUGCAGCAACGCCGCGUGCGGGAUUGCGGCCUUCUGGUUGUCGACCGCUUUCUCCUGUGCCGGAGCGUGAGUGACGGUAAUGGGUGAAUAAGCACCGGCUAACUCCGUG